Molecule: ribosomal RNA, 791 nt
Filed under: uncultured bacterium
Lineage: Bacteria
Description: bacterial SSU rRNA
Rfam family: Bacterial small subunit ribosomal RNA
Source: RNAcentral
AGAGUUUGAUCCUGGCUCAGGACGAACGCUGGCGGCGUGCCUAAUACAUGCAAGUCGAGCGGGACACUUCGGUGUUCAGCGGCGGACGGGUGAGUAACACGUGGGUAACCUGCCUGAUAGACCGGGAUAACGCUUGGAAACGAGUGUUAAUACCGGAUAGGCUCUUCGAGCGCAUGCUUUGAGAGGGAAAGAGGCUAUCGCCUCACUGUCAGAUGGACCCGCGGCGCAUUAGCUAGUUGGUGAGGUAACGGCUCACCAAGGCGACGAUGCGUAGCCGACCUGAGAGGGUGACCGGCCACACUGGGACUGAGACACGGCCCAGACUCCUACGGGAGGCAGCAGUAGGGAAUCUUCCGCAAUGGGCGCAAGCCUGACGGAGCAACGCCGCGUGAGUGAUGAAGGCCUUCGGGUUGUAAAACUCUGUCUUCUGUGAAGAACAAGCCUGUGAGUGGAAAGCUCAGGCCUUGACGGUAACAGAGGAGGAAGCCCCGGCUAACUACGUGCCAGCAGCCGCGGUAAUACGUAGGGGGCAAGCGUUGUCCGGAAUCACUGGGCGUAAAAGCGCGCGCAGGCGGCUGUCUACGUCCGGGGUGAAAGCCCAGAGCUCAACUCUGGGACUGCCUUGGAUACGGGAUGGCUUGAAGAUCGGAGAGGCAAGGGGAAUUCCACGUAGCGGUGAAAUGCGUAGAGAUGUGGAGGAACACCUGUGGCGAAGGCGCCUUGCUGGCCGAUUUCUGACGCUGAGGCGCGAAAGCGUGGGGAGCAAACAGGAUUAGAUACCCCCGUAGUCC